GAUGAACGCUGGCGGCGUGCCUAAUACAUGCAAGUCGAACGCACAGCGAAAGGUGCUUGCACCUUUCAAGUGAGUGGCGAACGGGUGAGUAACACGUGGAUAACCUACCUCAAGGUUGGGGAUAACAUUUGGAAACAGAUGCUAAUACCGAAUAAAACUUAGUAUCGCAUGAUACCAGGUUAAAAGGCGCUACGGCGUCACCUAGAGAUGGAUCCGCGGUGCAUUAGUUAGUUGGUGGGUAAAGGCUUACCAAGACAAUGAUGCAUAGCCGAGUUGAGAGACUGAUCGGCCACAUUGGACUGAGACACGGCCCAAACUCCUACGGGAGGCUGCAGUAGGGAAUCUUCCACAAUGGGCGAAAGCCUGAUGGAGCAACGCCGCGUGUGUGAUGAAGGCUUUCGGGUCGUAAAGCACUGUGUAUGGGAAGAACAGCUAGAGUAGGGAAUGAC
Molecule: ribosomal RNA, 449 nt
Filed under: uncultured bacterium
Lineage: Bacteria
Description: bacterial SSU rRNA
Rfam family: Bacterial small subunit ribosomal RNA
Source: RNAcentral